UACGUAGGUGGCAAGCGUUGUCCGGAUUUAUUGGGCGUAAAGAGCGUGUAGGCGGCCAUACAGGUCAGCUGUGAAAACUCGAGGCUCAACCUCGAGACGUCGGUUGAAACCGUAUGGCUAGAGUCCGGAAGAGGAGAGUGGAAUUCCCGGUGUAGCGGUGAAAUGCGCAGAUAUCGGGAAGAACACCCAUGGCGAAGGCAGCUCUCUGGGACGGUACUGACGCUGAGACGCGAAAGCGUGGGGAGCGAACAGG
Molecule: ribosomal RNA, 253 nt
Filed under: uncultured bacterium
Lineage: Bacteria
Description: partial 16S ribosomal RNA
Rfam family: Bacterial small subunit ribosomal RNA
Source: RNAcentral